Nannospalax galili (Upper Galilee mountains blind mole rat) is the source of this 314-nucleotide RNA transcript. RefSeq lists it as uncharacterized. The transcript is spliced from 3 exons. Lineage: Eukaryota; Metazoa; Chordata; Mammalia; Rodentia; Spalacidae. The record is from RefSeq and is a predicted model, not a curated record.
AAACUGAGCCACAGUGAACCUCCCUUCCUUCAGUUCCUGAAGUGUUUUGUCAGGGCAGCGAGAACGGGCACUGACACAGAAGAGGAAAGUCGGGAGCAUGAGCUUGGACUCGUGAGCAAUGGUGCUGGGUCCUGGAUGAAGACGGUUAGAGUGGCCUUGGUCCUGUGCCUGAACGUGGGUGUGGAUCCUCCUGAUGUGGUGAAGACCACACCCUGUGCACGCUUGGAAUGCUGGAUUGAUCCUUUGUCUAUGGGUCCUCAGAAAGCUCUGGAAACCAUUGGUGCGAACUUACAGAAGCAGUAUGAGAACUGGCA